Ictalurus punctatus (channel catfish) is the source of this 1905-nucleotide long non-coding RNA. RefSeq lists it as uncharacterized. NCBI's taxonomy places the organism in Eukaryota, Metazoa, Chordata, Actinopteri, Siluriformes, Ictaluridae. The record is from RefSeq and is a predicted model, not a curated record. The transcript is spliced from 2 exons.
AGGACCUGGAAGAGCUGCACAAGCACGGUGGGCAAGAACUUUAUGAUGACCUGAGUCUCCACAGCGUGCAGGCACUGCCACAGGACGAGAACAAGGUAAGAACUAUAAAUCAUGAUGUGCUGGUGGGGGCAUGGUCAAGCAUCAGCUAUGGACGGAGAGGAGGCAGGUCGAACUGGAAGGUAACCUGUGAUGAUUCUCACCAGUGUCUCAUUAAUGAUAGUCUACUUAUUUGUGUUUCUUUGUGCUUUCAGUGGCUCCCGUCACACACACACACACACACACACACACGAGAAUGUUUAAUACUUCACUGAGAUUUUUAAUCUUAUUUCUCUCUGUAGAAGAUUACCAAUUAUGUGAUGACUUUAAGAAUGCACGUUUUUCCACGCAGUAUCACGGGAUUUGUCCCGUGCGAUCACGCAGUAUCCUGCAGGCACUAAGUAUUGAAAUUAAUUUGUUGUGCUUCACAUAAUAACCACCAGGUGGCGCAUGGAACAACAUAGUGUACCUGAACACAGCACAAUAAAAAUGGAAUUGUUCACAUAAAAAAUUAAGUUUCGCAUCAAAACUUAUAAUUAACCUAAUUUAAACAAAUUUGUAAGUACACGAUUAUGAAAAAUAUAAAUGUGCUCUGCUGCUUGUUGCAAAAUGGUUCUGAGAGGUUCACAGAUCUGCGGGCCAAGCACAAGCAGAUCAUGGGUUUCAGUACAACAAACAGCACCGUUUGGUUGGUAAACGAAUAUAUGUGUAUAUAGUAUAUGUCCAGGCAGAACUACUGUAUCUACUAGGAAGCAGUGUUCAUUCAAAUGAAACAUGACUGCCCCCUAAUGGGCUUGUACUUCCUGUGCCGGCAGCAUGCACGUGAUUCCGCACGAAAUCGUAGGUUUCCGUUUCCUUCUACGCGCAUUUUUAAUGACUUCAUCUGUAACUGGUUUUCUUCAUAAGGACAUAUUUGCAUAUUUAGGCAAACUGAGUCAAAACUAAAUAGCUAGUUUAUUGAAUGACUCAGAAUAGUCCUCAGAACAGUCAAUAACUCCUCUAUUACUGAAUGUCAUUUGCUGACUAAGAAAUGUGCUUUUCAGUCAUUAUUGUUAUAUUAGAGUGUCAAAAUGCACCCUUUUAGAUUGACCAGGUCACCUAACCCAAAUCCAUCCAUCCAUCCAUCCAUAAAUUUUCCAUGCAGCUUAUCCUACAGAGGGUCACGGGAGCCUCGAGUCUAUCCCAGGGAACUCAGGGCACAAAGCAGGGGACACCCUGGAUGGGCUGCCAACUCAUCACAGAGCACACACAUUCAUACAUGACAGAUCAUUUGGAAAUGCUAAUCAACCUACAACGCAUGUAAUUAGACUGGUGGAGAAAACCGGAGUACCCAGAGGAAACCCCCGAAGCACCGGGAGAACACGCAAACUCUGCUCACAAAGGGCAGAGGCGGGAUUCAAACCCCCAACCCAGGAGGUGCGAGGCAAAAUGAGGCAGAUGUGGACAUUACCUUAAGUGGGCCUGCCCCCUCUUCAUCUGAGUCUUUGAACUGAAUGGACACCGCAAUGUUCCUCGCCUGAAGGACAGACACGUAAAACAAUCACAAAACAACAUUUGCACCAAAAUUUCAUGCAGUUUCAUCAAUUCUUUUUCCCUUAUUUUCAAUAAAUCAACCUCAAGUCACUGCAUCGGAAACUCUGGGUUUAGGAGUCACUAGUCGCUAAAAGUCACACAAUGCGUUUGCAGCUAUUUACCUUCGCAAAGGUCUUUUGACUUUCAUAUUUGAGCUGCUGGGGAUAGAUAUAGAGGUGAUUCUUAUAGAUGGUGAAAGGGUGAUUGUACUUGGCUUCUUCAGAGACAAACUCUUCUAGUUCCACACAGACUUUCUCACACUGCUCUUCGAACGGCUUCACUGGGAUGUAGGAGGGG